RNAcentral lists this ribosomal RNA (1540 nucleotides) under Staphylococcus aureus M0237. RNAcentral's name for it is "16S ribosomal RNA". It matches the Rfam family "Bacterial small subunit ribosomal RNA". RNAcentral also lists the same sequence under 15 other names. The record is from RNAcentral. Lineage: Bacteria; Bacillati; Bacillota; Bacilli; Caryophanales; Staphylococcaceae.
AGAGUUUGAUCCUGGCUCAGGAUGAACGCUGGCGGCGUGCCUAAUACAUGCAAGUCGAGCGAACGGACGAGAAGCUUGCUUCUCUGAUGUUAGCGGCGGACGGGUGAGUAACACGUGGAUAACCUACCUAUAAGACUGGGAUAACUUCGGGAAACCGGAGCUAAUACCGGAUAAUAUUUUGAACUGCAUGGUUCAAAAGUGAAAGACGGUCUUGCUGUCACUUAUAGAUGGAUCCGCGCUGCAUUAGCUAGUUGGUAAGGUAACGGCUUACCAAGGCAACGAUGCAUAGCCGACCUGAGAGGGUGAUCGGCCACACUGGAACUGAGACACGGUCCAGACUCCUACGGGAGGCAGCAGUAGGGAAUCUUCCGCAAUGGGCGAAAGCCUGACGGAGCAACGCCGCGUGAGUGAUGAAGGUCUUCGGAUCGUAAAACUCUGUUAUUAGGGAAGAACAUAUGUGUAAGUAACUGUGCACAUCUUGACGGUACCUAAUCAGAAAGCCACGGCUAACUACGUGCCAGCAGCCGCGGUAAUACGUAGGUGGCAAGCGUUAUCCGGAAUUAUUGGGCGUAAAGCGCGCGUAGGCGGUUUUUUAAGUCUGAUGUGAAAGCCCACGGCUCAACCGUGGAGGGUCAUUGGAAACUGGAAAACUUGAGUGCAGAAGAGGAAAGUGGAAUUCCAUGUGUAGCGGUGAAAUGCGCAGAGAUAUGGAGGAACACCAGUGGCGAAGGCGACUUUCUGGUCUGUAACUGACGCUGAUGUGCGAAAGCGUGGGGAUCAAACAGGAUUAGAUACCCUGGUAGUCCACGCCGUAAACGAUGAGUGCUAAGUGUUAGGGGGUUUCCGCCCCUUAGUGCUGCAGCUAACGCAUUAAGCACUCCGCCUGGGGAGUACGACCGCAAGGUUGAAACUCAAAGGAAUUGACGGGGACCCGCACAAGCGGUGGAGCAUGUGGUUUAAUUCGAAGCAACGCGAAGAACCUUACCAAAUCUUGACAUCCUUUGACAACUCUAGAGAUAGAGCCUUCCUCUUCGGGGGACAAAGUGACAGGUGGUGCAUGGUUGUCGUCAGCUCGUGUCGUGAGAUGUUGGGUUAAGUCCCGCAACGAGCGCAACCCUUAAGCUUAGUUGCCAUCAUUAAGUUGGGCACUCUAAGUUGACUGCCGGUGACAAACCGGAGGAAGGUGGGGAUGACGUCAAAUCAUCAUGCCCCUUAUGAUUUGGGCUACACACGUGCUACAAUGGACAAUACAAAGGGCAGCGAAACCGCGAGGUCAAGCAAAUCCCAUAAAGUUGUUCUCAGUUCGGAUUGUAGUCUGCAACUCGACUACAUGAAGCUGGAAUCGCUAGUAAUCGUAGAUCAGCAUGCUACGGUGAAUACGUUCCCGGGUCUUGUACACACCGCCCGUCACACCACGAGAGUUUGUAACACCCGAAGCCGGUGGAGUAACCUUUUAGGAGCUAGCCGUCGAAGGUGGGACAAAUGAUUGGGGUGAAGUCGUAACAAGGUAGCCGUAUCGGAAGGUGCGGCUGGAUCACCU